GACGAACGCUGGCGGCGUGCUUAACACAUGCAAGUCGAACGGAAAGGUCCUGCUUUUGUGGGGUGCUCGAGUGGCGAACGGGUGAGUAACACGUGAGUAACCUGCCCUUGACUUUGGGAUAACUUCAGGAAACUGGGGCUAAUACCGGAUAUGAGCUCCUGCUGCAUGGUGGGGGUUGGAAAGUUUCGGCGGUUGGGGAUGGACUCGCGGCUUAUCAGCUUGUUGGUGGGGUAGUGGCUUACCAAGGCUUUGACGGGUAGCCGGGCUGAGAGGGUGACCGGCCCCAUUGGGACUGAGAUGCGGCCCAGCCUCCUACGGGAGGCAGGAGCGGGGAAUAUUGCACAAUGGGCGGAAGCCUGAUGCAGCAACGCCGCGUGCGGGAUGACGGCCUUCGGGUUGUAAACCGCUUUCGCCUGUGACGAAGCGUGAGUGACGGUAAUGGGUAAAGAAGCACCGGCUAACUACGUG
This 468-nucleotide ribosomal RNA is filed under the name uncultured bacterium. Its description in RNAcentral is "partial 16S ribosomal RNA". It matches the Rfam family "Bacterial small subunit ribosomal RNA", at positions 28 to 507 of the family's 1533-position model. The record is from RNAcentral.